GCCGUGUCAGCAGGAAUGAAAUAUGGCUUUUAAAGAAUAACAGGUCUAGUUUUGUAGCUUCUCUUCGGCAGGUACGGGAUCAGAGCGGUGUCCAUGACGACGGAGACAACAGAGCGUAGAAUGCCGUCAUUGACGAAUCGCGAUCGAGUAUUCAGCGAUGACGUUCCUUUCCGAAAGCUGCGUUAGUCGCGCUCCUUCUUCGCAAAGUUGACACUAAAUCCUCUGAAGGCAGAAAGACGCUCGGCCACCGGCGCCUUUUCAGGCUGUCGCUGAUUUUUGUCUGGAAACUUGAGAUCUUGAGUGGUGGUUCAAGUCUCAAGGACGUCAAGUGUAACAGCAUUAAAGUCCAAAGUGUGCGAGUGUGACGUCCAUCUGGUCCGGUUGUCUGGAAGGUGCACACUGAAAGACACACACUGCAGGUCUGCACACACACACACACACACACACUGCAGGUCUCUGUACACACACACACACACACACACACACACUGCAGGUCUCUGUACACACACACACACACACACACACACACACACACACACACACACACACACACUGCAUGUCUCUGCACACACACACUGCAGGUCUCUGCACACACACACACACACACACACACACACACACACACACACACACACACACACUGCAGGUCUCUGUACACACACACACACUGUAUGUCUCUGUACACACACACACACACUGUAUGUCUCUGUACACACACACACACUGUAUGUCUCUGCACACACACACACACUGUAUGUCUCUGCACACACACACUGCAG
This is a long non-coding RNA of Gasterosteus aculeatus aculeatus (three-spined stickleback), 779 nucleotides long. Lineage: Eukaryota; Metazoa; Chordata; Actinopteri; Perciformes; Gasterosteidae. The record is from Ensembl.